CCUACGGGUGGCUGCAGUGGGGAAUAUUGGACAAUGGGCGAAAGCCUGAUCCAGCCAUGCCGCGUGUGUGAAGAAGGCCUUCGGGUUGUAAAGUACUUUCAGUGGGGAAGAAAGCCUUGGGGCUAAUACCCUCGAGGAAGGACAUCACCCACAGAAGAAGCACCGGCUAACUCCGUGCCAGCAGCCGCGGUAAUACGGAGGGUGCGAGCGUUAAUCGGAAUUACUGGGCGUAAAGCGCGCGCAGGCGGUCUGAUAAGCCGGUUGUGAAAUCCCCGGGCUCAACCUGGGAACGGCAUCCGGAACUGUCAGGCUAGAGUGCUGGAGAGGAAGGUAGAAUUCCCGGUGUAGCGGUGAAAUGCGUAGAGAUCGGGAGGAAUACCGGUGGCGAAGGCGGCCUUCUGGACUGACACUGACGCUGAGGUGCGAAAGCGUGGGUAGCAAACAGGAUUAGAUACCCGAGUAGUC
RNAcentral lists this ribosomal RNA (465 nucleotides) under Vreelandella stevensii. RNAcentral's name for it is "partial 16S ribosomal RNA". It matches the Rfam family "Bacterial small subunit ribosomal RNA", at positions 338 to 795 of the family's 1533-position model. Lineage: Bacteria; Pseudomonadati; Pseudomonadota; Gammaproteobacteria; Oceanospirillales; Halomonadaceae. The record is from RNAcentral.